This 466-nucleotide ribosomal RNA is filed under the name uncultured bacterium. RNAcentral describes it as "bacterial SSU rRNA". It matches the Rfam family "Bacterial small subunit ribosomal RNA", at positions 56 to 515 of the family's 1533-position model. The record is from RNAcentral.
UGCAAGUCGAGGGGUAACGGAAGUAGCUUGCUACUAGACGACGACCGGCGCACGGGUGAGUAACGCGUAUGUAAUCUGCCUUGUACAGAGGGAUAGCCCAGAGAAAUUUGGAUUAAUACCUCAUAGUAUUACUGAGUCGCAUGAUUUGGUAAUUAAAGCUCCGGCGGUACAAGAUGAACAUGCGUGACAUCAGCUAGUUGGUAAGGUAACGGCUUACCAAGGCUACGAUGUCUAGGGGUUCUGAGAGGAUGAUCCCCCACACUGGUACUGAGACACGGACCAGACUCCUACGGGAGGCAGCAGUGAGGAAUAUUGGUCAAUGGACGCAAGUCUGAACCAGCCAUCCCGCGUGAAGGAUGACUGCCCUAUGGGUUGUAAACUUCUUUUAUAUGCAAAUAAACCUACUUUCGUGAAAGUAGCUGAAGGUAGCAUAUGAAUAAACACCGGCUAACUCCGUGCCAGCAGC